Molecule: long non-coding RNA, 665 nt
Filed under: Marmota monax (woodchuck)
Lineage: Eukaryota; Metazoa; Chordata; Mammalia; Rodentia; Sciuridae
Source: RNAcentral
GGGAAUUACUGGAACUGGGGCUGGAGCUCAGGGAUAGAGUGCUUGUUUAGCCCCUGCAGAGGCCCUGGAGUCAAUCCUCAGCACAUUAAAAAAAAAAAAAAAAAAGGGACAGGAAGGGGCACUAACUGUUCAAUUCCAUUUGGUGAAAGUGGUCUUAGUUGUACCUCCGUCUCCUUGUGUACCUAUGAAUAACAAUUUCUUGCAUUCUAAAAACUGUUCUGCUUGGAUGAUAAAUUAUAUUGGUGUCCUACUUUGACACCAUAUGUCCUGGGGUUGGGGACUUGGUGGAGAGUGCUUGCUUAGCACACGCAAAGCCCUGAGUUUAGUCCUUGACCCUGGGAAAAGAAAAACAAAUAAAAACCCACCCUAUGUCCCAACGUCAGAUUUCUUUUUAGAAAAUAUAUUUAUGGAGGUGUCAACUAAUUGCUGUAUGAUCCGUAUGCUGUAAGUAUAGGCUGGAGUCGGCUUUCUGUGGCCGUGUAGGCCUCACCAUAAUCCAGCUUCAGUGCACUCCCGCUGCCCAGGUUUCCUCACCUGUUAGCUCCCUCCCCAGUCCCAGGCAACCUCUGAUCUACUUUGUUGUAUAGUCGAAUCUUCCCCUGCCUUUCUGACAGGUAAGCCCCUGGAGACAGCAAUGUUUGCAGAGGGACUAAGAUGAUCUCAAC